AAAGUACUCCCUCCGUCCCAAAAUUCUGUUCUUAGAAUUGUCUAGAUACGGAUGUAUCAAGUCCCAUUUUAGUAUUAGAUACAUCCGUAUCUAGACAAGAAUUUGGGACAGAGGGAGUAGUUG
This is a non-coding RNA of Triticum aestivum (bread wheat), 123 nucleotides long. Lineage: Eukaryota; Viridiplantae; Streptophyta; Magnoliopsida; Poales; Poaceae. The record is from Rfam.